RNAcentral lists this ribosomal RNA (452 nucleotides) under uncultured organism. Its description in RNAcentral is "partial 16S ribosomal RNA". It matches the Rfam family "Bacterial small subunit ribosomal RNA", at positions 329 to 797 of the family's 1533-position model. The record is from RNAcentral.
ACGUACACUCCUGCGGGAGGCAGCAGUGGGGAAUCUUGCGCAAUGGGCGAAAGCCUGACGCAGCCAUGCCGCGUGAAUGAUGAAGGUCUUAGGAUUGUAAAAUUCUUUCACCGGGGACGAUAAUGACGGUACCCGGAGAAGAAGCCCCGGCUAACUUCGUGCCAGCAGCCGCGGUAAUACGAAGGGGGCUAGCGUUGCUCGGAAUUACUGGGCGUAAAGGGAGCGUAGGCGGACAUUUAAGUCAGGGGUGAAAUCCCGGGGCUCAACCUCGGAAUUGCCUCUGAUACUGGGUGUCUUGAGUAUGAGAGAGGUGUGUGGAACUCCGAGUGUAGAGGUGAAAUUCGUAGAUAUUCGGAAGAACACCAGUGGCGAAGGCGACACACUGGCUCAUUACUGACGCUGAGGCUCGAAAGCGUGGGGAGCAAACAGGAUUAGAUACCCGUGUAGUCCCA